This 491-nucleotide long non-coding RNA is filed under the name Pan paniscus (pygmy chimpanzee). Its description in RNAcentral is "lncRNA (ENSPPAG00000044794.1)". Lineage: Eukaryota; Metazoa; Chordata; Mammalia; Primates; Hominidae. The record is from RNAcentral.
AUGGAGGGAAGACGACUUCUUCCCACAAGAAGGUUCCCUUCUACUCGAGUGGACUGGAGCCCUGAGCUUAUUCCUCAAGGAAAUUUUCUCUCUGGAAGAAAUCCAAUCCUAUCAGACUCAGACAAAAGCCCUGUCACUGGGGUUGUGGGAAAAAGAAAAACCGUACACGGCAGCCCUAACUCUUGCAGAGAGAAUAUGUUAAAUCAUAAAGCAAGAUCAUAUAUGAUCGCAUCUCAAAGUGUGCAAAACAGCAGUAGUGAGGGGGUGGAUUCAGAGGAAGAAGGAGGAAGUACCGACGGGGGAGGCAGGAAAAGAAAUGCCAUCCUGGAUCAGAGCUGUGAACGUCAAAGGAGAGGGGUGAUCCUCACCUCUGGAGAUGAGAGACUGGAAGAGAAUGCCUGUGAAGUGAGAAGCGCCUUUUCCUCUUCUUGAGAUGCGUGAUCCCACCACACCUGUUAAAAUCCCCCUGAAGAAUUAAAAGUUGCUGCCUC